Molecule: ribosomal RNA, 253 nt
Filed under: uncultured bacterium
Lineage: Bacteria
Description: partial 16S ribosomal RNA
Rfam family: Bacterial small subunit ribosomal RNA
Source: RNAcentral
UACGGAGGGUGCAAGCGUUAUCCGGAUUCACUGGGUUUAAAGAGUGCGUAGGUGGGUUGGUAAGUCAGUGGUGAAAUCUCCAGGCUUAACUUGGAAACUGCCAUUGAUACUAUCAAUCUUGAAUACCGUGGAGGUCAGCGGAAUAUGUCAUGUAGCGGUGAAAUGCUUAGAUAUGACAUAGAACACCAAUUGCGAAGGCAGCUGGCUACACGAAUAUUGACACUGAUGCACGAAAGCGUGGGGAUCAAACAGG